CGCGGCGCAGGAAGGGCCCGCGCCCCGCGCCUACCGCGUGCUCGGGUCUGGGGUUCGGCGCUGCGCCCGCGCUCCCGGGCCUGGACGCGCUCCCGCGGGGCCAGCACUCCUGGGUGACACAGAAUCACGGGAUCCGGUGAAAACCACAGACGACAACUGCAGGCAGCCCAGUCAUGCCUGCGGAAGCACCAGCCCAGCUUUUCUCCUGAUACCAUCUACACUGUUGCUGCCAUCCGUUCUAGAACGCUGCCACUCUUCCCUGUGUAAGUUAAGCAGAAGAAAAGGAGGGGGGACUGUCUCCAAUCUCCCCAAGCCCACCCCCCCAUCAGUCGUUCCCCCAAGUGCAGUUAAGCUGUGGCCUUGAAUUUACAUUUGUC
Molecule: long non-coding RNA, 377 nt
Filed under: Chinchilla lanigera (long-tailed chinchilla)
Lineage: Eukaryota; Metazoa; Chordata; Mammalia; Rodentia; Chinchillidae
Description: lncRNA (ENSCLAG00000024643.1)
Source: RNAcentral